GGCCGGUUGAUUAUAAUUUCAGGUCUAACCUGCCCAGUGAUUUAUUAAAUGGCUGCAGUAAUUUGACUGUACAAAGGUAGCAUAAUCAAUAGUUUCUUAAUUAGAAGCUGGAAUGAAGGGUUUUUUAAGAAAAGUUCUGUCUCUUUUAGAGUUUAGUAAAAUUUUAUUUUUAAGUGAGAAAGCUUAAAUUUUCAUUGAAGACGAGAAGACCCUGUAGAGUUUAAUUUUUUAAUUUGCUUUGAUUUUUUAGCUAAGAGAAUUGCUGAGAAUUAAUUAAUUUUAUUGGGGUGAUGGAAAAAUUAGACAAACUUUUUUUUUAUUCAUGCAUUUAUUUAUGGAUAAAGGAUCCUUAUUUUAGGAUAAAAGAAUAAAUUACCUCAGGGAUAACAGCGUAAUUUUCUUUGGAGUUCAUAUCUAAGAGAAAGAUUGCGACCUCGAUGUUGGAUUAAAAUAAAUUUCUGGUGCAGAAGCUGGAAUAUUAGGUCUGUUCGACCUUUAAAAUUUUACAUGAUCUGAGUUUAGACCGGCGUGAG
Molecule: ribosomal RNA, 533 nt
Filed under: Trigonopterus sp. 888 AR-2022a
Lineage: Eukaryota; Metazoa; Arthropoda; Insecta; Coleoptera; Curculionidae
Description: partial large subunit ribosomal RNA
Rfam family: Bacterial large subunit ribosomal RNA
Source: RNAcentral